AAAGUCUAAAACGACUCUCGGCAACGGAUAUCUCGGCUCUCGCAUCGAUGAAGAACGUAGCGAAAUGCGAUACUUGGUGUGAAUUGCAGAAUCCCGUGAACCAUCGAGUCUUUGAACGCAAGUUGCGCCCCAAGCCUUCUGGCCGAGGGCACGUCUGCCUGGGCGUCACAA
This 171-nucleotide ribosomal RNA is filed under the name Lepidium campestre (pepperwort). Its description in RNAcentral is "5.8S ribosomal RNA". It matches the Rfam family "5.8S ribosomal RNA". From Rfam's summary of the family: 5.8S ribosomal RNA (5.8S rRNA) is a component of the large subunit of the eukaryotic ribosome. It is transcribed by RNA polymerase I as part of the 45S precursor that also contains 18S and 28S rRNA. The record is from RNAcentral. Lineage: Eukaryota; Viridiplantae; Streptophyta; Magnoliopsida; Brassicales; Brassicaceae.